AAAUGGAAUUAUGGUACUAUAUUAAUUAUAUGACUGGCACUGUUUGAAGUAACUAAAAUAAUUUCUAUCCAUAUCUAAUAUUCAGUUCAAUUGGAAUCAUCCAACAGAAGGAAAAAGCAUUGUCAAAUUGUCGAGGAGGUCGGCACAAAUGUCUCGUAUAUAGAGUAGCAGUAGCCAACUAUCACGUUUCAUUAAUGCCUCUUAUUCCGUUAACGUUGGAGAUCGAGCGCGCGUGCGCCUCGCUCUCUCUCGCUCGUUCGUUCCGACCUGUCUGUCGUCGUCGCGAUUACGCGCCACUUGUUAAGGACAGGUGGAACCGACGCGCGCGCUCACGAUUACCGCUUACGUUCCAUCACGACACGAAGUUCAAGAUAAGAAGAAAAUUUGCAAGCCUGCGACACCGAUCCCGUCAUCCUCGAAUGCCCGCGUGGAAUUUGUCGUAUCGCCAGCGGCUUUCUACUUUUCCGCGCCGAGCGUUUAAGGGAUCUCAGGAGCGUGGCUCCCGGAGAGGAAAUAUAACCCUGUUCCAUCGUUCGUCACGUUCGGCGCGAUAAAUCGACCGCGGAAGGUCGUCAUGCGAGUCAAGCGGCGUGGAAUCAUCCGGCCAUGCGGUCCAUGCAGUCACUAAGAUGGGAAAGGACAGUGAUCUCGGCGACGCCGACAGAUCGCGCGGAGAGGUGGAAGCGCAUUGAACCGACGGCGACGCCGGCAGUAAAUUGGAUCACCUUCAAAAAUUCACCGCCCGUUAAGAACCGGCGCGAUGAUUCGCGAUGAUUACGCGCGGGUAGUACGAGGGAAAACGCUAGACGCGCGGAAAUUCGGUACGAGGCGCGACGCGACGGGCGCGGAUUCGCGACUUACGUGGCGGGUUAAAUAUAAGCGGCGCGACGCGCGGCAGCCGUUCCGACGAUCGCGUCCCCGAGAGCGCUUGCUCCUCCACGUAGUAGGCGUCGUAGUCGCAGCAGCAAGAUAAUCCAAACGUUCGGACGCUCGGUUGGCGAUUACGCCGUCCUUGAAAUUCGCGGAAGCGCGAGGAGAGAUGUUCGUUGCGACAUUUAGAGCGACCCCUCGCCAUUCCAAAGAGGAGAUUCCUUUGUGGCAAUAUUACAAUUUUUCCGAGAUUAGAUAUGAAUUUUGUAAAACGAUUUCUCAUGGUAUCAUUAAAUAUCAUACGAUGAAAUAUGUCAGUUCAUCGAAGCAAUUGAAGAUAUUCGAAAUUGCGUACGUUAUAAAUUCUAUGACUUCAAUAUCUCAAUCUUGUUUGCCGUAAAUGUUCGAUGAUUCCAGUGUGUCGAAUAUGAGAAUAAAUUGAUUCAAAACACGCGCAUAUAUCGUACAAAAGGAAUUAAAAUGUAUCAAAGCAAUACUGCGGGGAUUACAACGAAUUUAUAAUGUGGCUCAAUGAAAAUUGCAUUUGAAAGUAAAUUCCACUAAAUUUCCAUACAAUUUUUUUUUUUUUUUGGUAGCAGUUUAUACUUUAACUAACGGUUAAAAACAUGUUCCGUAAAUUAAUAAAAGUUAGUGCUGCGAAUUUAAACGUAAAAUGUGCCUGCAUACCCGUGCUAUAUCAGGCGCGAAUUAAAAUAUUCACGUGCGUUUACAUAAGUUAGCUGCCAUAUUGCCGGGCUGUCUGCAAAAGGGAAAUAUGUACACGCGCCUGUUGAAGCAUCCCUUUCCAUAUUAACAAUAUUGCCGCGUGCUAUAUCCCAAAACUGAUCGAGAAUUCUGCAUCGACGACGACGACGACAACGUUUCAGCGCUAAAAAAAAAAAA
This is a long non-coding RNA of Monomorium pharaonis (pharaoh ant), 1773 nucleotides long. RefSeq lists it as uncharacterized. Lineage: Eukaryota; Metazoa; Arthropoda; Insecta; Hymenoptera; Formicidae. The record is from RefSeq and is a predicted model, not a curated record. The transcript has 2 exons.